Molecule: non-coding RNA, 86 nt
Organism: Microstroma glucosiphilum
Lineage: Eukaryota; Fungi; Basidiomycota; Exobasidiomycetes; Microstromatales; Microstromataceae
Source: the annotation of a RefSeq genome assembly
GCUUUGGUGGUGUAGUUGGUAAGACAUGGGAUUCAUAGCUCUGUUAAUGCACCCCAAGAUCGCGAGUUCGAGCCUCGCCCGAAGCA